UAUUAAAUUAUUAUUUUGGCAGAUUAGUGUAAUGAAUUUAGAAUUCAUAAAAGUAAUAUUUUUUUACAAAUAAUAC
RNAcentral lists this transfer RNA (76 nucleotides) under Duvalius doriae. Its description in RNAcentral is "transfer RNA-Leu". RNAcentral also lists the same sequence under 2 other names. The record is from RNAcentral. Lineage: Eukaryota; Metazoa; Arthropoda; Insecta; Coleoptera; Carabidae.